This 253-nucleotide ribosomal RNA is filed under the name uncultured bacterium. Its description in RNAcentral is "partial 16S ribosomal RNA". It matches the Rfam family "Bacterial small subunit ribosomal RNA", at positions 524 to 776 of the family's 1533-position model. The record is from RNAcentral.
UACGUAGGGUGCGAGCGUUAAUCGGAAUUACUGGGCGUAAAGCGCACGUAGGCGGAUUUGUAAGUCAGGGGUGAAAUCCCGGGGCUCAACCUCGGAACUGCCUUUGAUACUGCAAGUCUUGAGUCCGGAAGAGGUGAGUGGAAUUCCUAGUGUAGAGGUGAAAUUCGUAGAUAUUAGGAAGAACACCAGUGGCGAAGGCGGCUCACUGGUCCGGUACUGACGCUGAGGUGCGAAAGCGUGGGGAGCAAACAGG